RNAcentral lists this ribosomal RNA (1150 nucleotides) under Salmonella enterica. Its description in RNAcentral is "partial 23S ribosomal RNA". It matches the Rfam family "Bacterial large subunit ribosomal RNA", at positions 1 to 1190 of the family's 2925-position model. The record is from RNAcentral. Lineage: Bacteria; Pseudomonadati; Pseudomonadota; Gammaproteobacteria; Enterobacterales; Enterobacteriaceae.
GGUUAAGCGACUAAGCGUACACGGUGGAUGCCCUGGCAGUCAGAGGCGAUGAAGGGCGUGCUAAUCUGCGAUAAGCGCCGGUAAGGUGAUAUGAACCGUUAUAACCGGCGAUACCCGAAUGGGGAAACCCAGUGUGAUUCGUCACACUAUCAUUAACUGAAUCCAUAGGUUAAUGAGGCGAACCGGGGGAACUGAAACAUCUAAGUACCCCGAGGAAAAGAAAUCAACCGAGAUUCCCCCAGUAGCGGCGAGCGAACGGGGAGGAGCCCAGAGCCUGAAUCAGCAUGUGUGUUAGUGGAAGCGUCUGGAAAGGCGCGCGAUACAGGGUGACAGCCCCGUACACAAAAGCGCAUGUGUUGUGAGCUCGAUGAGUAGGGCGGGACACGUGGUAUCCUGUCUGAAUAUGGGGGGACCAUCCUCCAAGGCUAAAUACUCCUGACUGACCGAUAGUGAACCAGUACCGUGAGGGAAAGGCGAAAAGAACCCCGGCGAGGGGAGUGAAAAAGAACCUGAAACCGUGUACGUACAAGCAGUGGGAGCACAGGUUUACCUGUGUGACUGCGUACCUUUUGUAUAAUGGGUCAGCGACUUAUAUUCUGUAGCAAGGUUAACCGUAUAGGGGAGCCGGAGGGAAACCGAGUCUUAACCGGGCGUUAAGUUGCAGGGUAUAGACCCGAAACCCGGUGAUCUAGCCAUGGGCAGGUUGAAGGUUGGGUAACACUAACUGGAGGACCGAACCGACUAAUGUUGAAAAAUUAGCGGAUGACCUGUGGCUGGGGGUGAAAGGCCAAUCAAACCGGGAGAUAGCUGGUUCUCCCCGAAAGCUAUUUAGGUAGCGCCUCGUGAAUUCAUCUCCGGGGGUAGAGCACUGUUUCGGCUAGGGGGCCAUCCCGGCUUACCAACCCGAUGCAAACUGCGAAUACCGGAGAAUGUUAUCACGGGAGACACACGGCGGGUGCUAACGUCCGUCGUGAAGAGGGAAACAACCCAGACCGCCAGCUAAGGUCCCAAAGUCAUGGUUAAGUGGGAAACGAUGUGGGAAGGCCCAGACAGCCAGGAUGUUGGCUUAGAAGCAGCCAUCAUUUAAAGAAAGCGUAAUAGCUCACUGGUCGAGUCGGCCUGCGCGGAAGAUGUAACGGGGCUAAACCAU